CAGUAGCCACGGGAAUACGUAGGGUGCAAGCGUUGUCCGGAAUCAUUGGGCGUAAAGCGCGCGUAGGUGGCCGUUUAAGUCCGCUGUGAAAGUCAAAGGCUCAACCUUUGAAAGCCGGUGGAUACUGGAUGGCUAGAGUACGGAAGAGGCGAGUGGAAUUCCUGGUGUAGCGGUGGAAUGCGCAGAUAUACGGAGGAACACCGGUGGCGAAAGCGGCUCUCUGGCUUGUAACUGACGCUGAGGCUCGAAAGCGUGGGGAGCAAACAGGAUUAGAUACCCCCGUAGUCCCUGUCUCUUAUAC
This 301-nucleotide ribosomal RNA is filed under the name uncultured bacterium. Its description in RNAcentral is "partial 16S ribosomal RNA". It matches the Rfam family "Bacterial small subunit ribosomal RNA", at positions 509 to 807 of the family's 1533-position model. The record is from RNAcentral.